This is a long non-coding RNA of Hyaena hyaena (striped hyena), 723 nucleotides long. RefSeq lists it as uncharacterized. The transcript is spliced from 3 exons. NCBI's taxonomy places the organism in Eukaryota, Metazoa, Chordata, Mammalia, Carnivora, Hyaenidae. The record is from RefSeq and is a predicted model, not a curated record.
CUUGCCUGUUGGAGAUCACACAUCUAGAAUUAAGGACCCUGCUUCUGCCUUUCUCUGUACUCUCCAGGACACUUCCCUAAGGAAGAAAGAGAUCCUCCAGGAAGAACAGAAACUCUGGACUUGGUAAUUUCAUGACUGAGGGGAAUGGUACUGAAUAAAGCAUAGUUUUGGGAGAGAAAACUGGAUUCAUUGCGGGAUUUUGUACAGAACUCCAUGAAUCCUUCCUGCUGUCACAACCCAGCCCGCCUACCGAUGUUCCUUCUCCGAACGUUCUACACAUCUGAGGAACAGGCUAGCGUACAAACUAGCAUCAAAGGAACAACAAAUCACGAAUUAACGACCCCUGCCUCUGUUCCAAUAACGAGAAGUGAUUUCCUGGAACAGUAUUAAUUUCUGGAAUAAUCUGAGCAGUAAAUCUUUACUACAAAGAAGAAUUCUUGAGGUGAAAACUCUUUUGACUUUGUGAGUAUGAACUAAUGCUAGAAAAUGAAACUUGGAGUUAUCUCCUACCCAAACUCUACAAACUUGAAGAAACAUUUCUCUUAGAACAUUUCUGACAUUAGAUUUUUCUGGAAAAUGGAUUUUUUUCUGUAGCUGUCAUAGUCAUUAGGUUGUCACAUAAAUACUUGCUAUAUUUGCAGUCAAAUACUCUACCACUGAGCUCUAUCUCCUAUACUUGCUAUAUUUUAAAUCCCUGAAUAAAAGAUGUUAUCGAAGCCACAA